GCGCCAGCUUAGUCCAGUGGUUACUUCCUACAGUCAAAUUACUAUCCUGCGGUCCGCGGGCUUCGGGGUUCGAACCACAGGCAAUGUCUGGCGUUUUA
The sequence is a vault RNA, 98 nucleotides long. Its record names the gene Vault. It matches the Rfam family "Vault RNA". From Rfam's summary of the family: This family of RNAs are found as part of the enigmatic vault ribonucleoprotein complex. The complex consists of a major vault protein (MVP), two minor vault proteins (VPARP and TEP1), and several small untranslated RNA molecules. It has been suggested that the vault complex is involved in drug resistance. The record is from Ensembl.